GAUAUCAGGAAUUUCAGUGGCUGCAAAGGCCAUCAAUCCUGCCAUCCGGAUUUUUGCUGCAGAACCUAAGGGAGCUAAUGAUGCAGCCAUGUCAAAAGCAGCUGGUAAGAUAGUAACACUACCAGAGACCACCACCAUAGCCGAUGGUGUUCGAGCUUUUCUCGACGACCUGACCUGGUAAUAUAUCUUCUCUCUUAUUUAAAUUUUCAUCAACGUUAGAAAAAGUUUGACUCGUAGGGAAAUUUAGUCCCUUCUCUAUUACGAGUGAUUACUAUUUAUCUCUUGCAAAAGCAUACUGCAAACCCUCUUUAGAACUACCCUUUAAUUUGUACUAUUUUUCUCUUCUUCUCACUCUUUCAUUUGUAGUUUGCCUCUUCAUAGUCUUAAUGAUUAAUUAUCAUUAAUACUUUGUUCCCACCCAUUUGCAAAUUUUCUCUUGUAAACAUUAAUGAUUGGGGCCUAUCUGUUUACUUACUGGUCAUAUGAACUCAAGCAUGUGAAACCCACCUUUUUUAUACUAUAAACUAAUUUUAAUCAUAAACUUGAGAACCACCGAUAGAAACAGAAGCAUAUGAUUCAGUAGAAAAUUAAAGUAAUGUUUCUUUCUCCAAGUUUAUCUACUAUACUACACAGUACCAACAUGAAUAACAUGAAUAUGAUCUCCACCAAUCAGAUACAACACUUUACCUAGUACAUGAAAGUGCAUACCAUGAUUUUUCUGUCUAUCAAUAACAACUUGGACUAUACAGUGAAUGCAAAAAAGUAGACUAUUAUCUUAGCAAUAAUGAUCCAAGCUAGUAUUUGCAGUGGAUCCACCUGUUAAGUAAUCCAUACAUCACGAUAAGUUCAAAUGAUCAUACUCCCACAUUUUCAAAUGAUCAUACUCCCACAUUUAUUGUAUUAGUCUAACCUUUCUAACCCAAGACUCAUAAAAGCGUAGGCCUAUGACAGUAAUGUUUUCGGUAAUGCAUCAUUUUGUUGGAACUACUAGUAUAUAUAGCAUUUAUUUUAAAUACUGAAAUUCUUGUCAUAUGAUAUCUCUCAACUUUGCUUGAAUGGUUAAAAACUGAAAAAGUUUCUUUCUGUGGAUUUCAUUUACUACUAAAUGACUUCAAUUCCUUGUUGACUGAUUAGGCCAAUAGUAAGAGAUUUGGUGGAUGAUGUAAUAACUGUGGAGGACAUAGAGAUAGUUGAAGCAAUGAGACUUUGUCUUGAAAUUCUGAAAGUUGUUGUGGAACCAAGUGGGGCAAUAGGUCUUGCUGCUGUUCUCUCUGAUAGUUUCAAGCAAAACCCUUCAUGGAAGGAUUGCAACUCCAUUGGCAUUAUACUUUCUGGAGGUAAUGUUGAUCUUGGCAUGCUUUGGAAUUCUUACAAAAAUUGAAGCUCGAUUCUCGAUUGUUGAUCUGCCUAUGCUUCUUCUUUGAGACCUUAGCAUUUGAUUUUUCAUUCCUUGGGAGACUUGUUUUCAAUCCUUACUGAUCAUAUGAGCAGAUAUAGACUUUUUUUUUUUUGGGUUUAAAUGUUCACGCUGUUAGUUUCUUCUUGUAUAGAUUGAUUAUAUAACGAUGGAAAACGGAGUUUGACAUGCUACAAUAUGGAAAUAACUUCAAUUCCAAGAAGUCAUAUUUGUUGGAACAUUACUUAGUAGAAUCAGAUCAAUGUUUUGAAAAUGGAUACUAAUUAAAAGAAUGGUUUAAAAUGUAUUUAAACAACAAAACAAUUCCAGUUACCAAUUCAACAUUUGGUUAAACACAUGUUUUAACUUCUAGCAUAAAUUCUGAAUAAUUAUUAUGGUACAUACGAUAUUAUGUGAUUUAUAGUAUGUAUAUUAUUAUACAAAUUUAGAAGAGUUGUAACUACCCUUAUAUUUGUGUUGCAACACAUUACAAAUUUUGCACCAUAUCAAUACACCGUUCAAAAUUUGAUUUAAGUAUAACGUUGUUGCAUGUGGUUACUAAUGAAAUAUAUUGAAUCAUUUUGAAAAAUAUCAAAUACCUUAAACUUUUUUUAAAUGAGUUUAUUUUUUCUUUUAAUUUAAACAUUUUAAAGCAAUCCAAACACACCUACUCUUUUAUAUAGUAUGAUAUUUGGUAUAUUUUCAUUUUUAGAAAAAUAAUCAAUAGUAAAAAAUAUCAUCCACUGAAUCAAACCGAAGAAUUAAAUCUAUAUUGAAAAAAAAAUCCAAACAUAAAAAUAUAUAUUUAGUCCAUAUGACAUUUCAUAGAGAAUUAUUUUCUCGAGUUUUUUCAAGAAUAAUAAAAAUAUAAACUAUUUACACUCUGACACAAAAAACUAAAGAAAGAUUCAUAAUUAUUCAUUUUGUCAUGUAAAUAGUUUGUCCAUUUUAUCAUAGUUAACAAUUCUCGCGAUAAAUGUUUAACGAUUUUUUUUCUUUUUUUGUUAUUUAUAGAGUUUGAUUAAUUUUGAUUUGCAUGUUAUCAUUUUUAUUUUAAACUAUUUUAAAUUGUGAAAUUUAAAUAUGUUAUUUUUGGAUAGACUAAUAUAUAUAUAUAUAUGAUAGUCUAUCUUAGACCUAUCAAUAUUUUGUUAUAUUUUGUUAUAAUUUUAAAAAUUAUGUCUUUGUCACGUAUUGAUUGUAUAUAUAAACUCUUUCAUUAGUAAUAUGGAUAAAUAAGUUUGUGGUUCAUAACUCAAAACUCAUAUUUAUAAAUAGAAGAAAUUGAUAUAUCCACGUGUAGAUGGAUAUUUCCAUUCUUGUGCUAUCGAGCAAAAGUUCGAAUCUUCAAAGUUCCAUUCCAUAUGGUCAAUUUCUUUUUUAUUGUCGCGCUCAACAGCGGGAACGGAUUCAGCGAGAAAGGCAACCACAAUUUCAACGGUGACACAGAAUUUAUUUGCCAUCUUCCACCAGGAAGAAGCAUAUAAACUUUUUUUUACUAAUCAGCGCUCAAGUAUUGUAAGUUCAUGACAUUUCUUUGAACUUUUAUUCCUAAUUUUCUGUUCUAAUUACAGAUUAUUUUUACGUGGACAGUGUAGUUAGCAAAGAAAUUGAAUCCUUAUUCCUUACAGCGCAGAUGUGAUUUCAGUGAAAGUAAAACAGAGUCUCAGGUAAUUUCUUAUGACUUAUUCUCAGAUUGAGCCGAAAAUUUGAUGUGCUUGAUGAUUUCUCCUUCUUGUUUUUUGUAUUUAUUUCGCAAAUUAGAAGGAAUAGAAUCCAAAUUUUAUUUUGGAUGUUAAAUUUUGAACAGAUGGGUUUGUUAUUUUGGUGGGGUUAAAGAGGAAUUAGCUCAUCAGGGAUUGUUUGGUUUAAAUUUGUAAUAAAGUGAUAAAAAAGUUUAGACAUUCUUAAUUUUUUCCUUUUGACUUUUAAAAUUUAAAAUAUAAAUACCACUGCCAUUCCAUUUUCGACGAAUGUUUUUAAAAAUGAAGAUAAAUUUUGAAAAGUAAAUAAAGUAAUUUUGAAAAGCUUGUUUUUGCUUUUAAAAUACUGUUUAAGUGUUUCUUUAAGAACUGUGAAAACUAUAAUUAGAAAAUUGAGAGGAAAUGUAAAUUCCAAAAACAAAAAGUAAGGAAUGAACGCACUGUUUGGUAAUCCUGUGGUUUUGGGUUUUUUUAAAAUUACGAGUCUAUGACUAUAAGCACACCUUAAACCUCUAAAUUAUUUGCUUUUGUUAUCUACUAUUUAGUAUUUACUGUUGAUUUAAAAAACCGAGCCAUAGUUUUGAAAACUAAAAAGGUAGUAUUAAAAACUUGAUUUAAUUAAUAUUUUUUUUUUAAAAAAAACAUAAUUGCUUCAGUUAUUAGUCUAGACUAUUCUAUCACUGUAAAUUUAAUCUAGGAGGCAAAUGCUCCUUCAAAUUUUGUUUAAAUACACGAAAAAUGCUUUAGGCAACUAAAGUGGCCUAUUGAAACUAGGAAGUCUAGUUUUGUGUAGCGUGUUUUGGUAUUUUGUUGACUAACGAGUAUUACUAACUUGAUUUGGUGUUUGUUUUAUGAGUUUGUAAUUUGAAGAAGUAAAUAUUUUGUUUGAGAGAUAGACAGUAUUAAGGAUCUUAAUCUUAUUAACAAACUUGUAUUUGGGAUGAAUGUACUUAUACUAUAAAAUUAUAAUCCAUGAGCUAAAUUAUCCUUGGAGUUUUUUUUGUAUUAAAAAGCUAUAUGCAACUCAGCAUGUCCUUGGAAAAUGUAUUUAUUUAUCACAAGAAAUGGCAACCAAAAUUUGUAUUCAUAAUGUCAAUUCAGUUUCAAGCCAUUAGUCAAAUGAAAUGAAUUUGGCUUAACAUGGAGAGUCGUUUUCCUUUGUUAACUUAGAAAAGCCAUCCACUGUGUCGCUAAGGUGUAUGUUUGAACCAUAAUUUUUGUCAACUGACAAUUGUGGUUGCUGUUGCUAUCAGGAUUGGAGAUUUUUUCUGAACUUUUUUCAGGUGUGCCGUUUCUUGCUGUUAAAAUGAACGUGGAGAGUCAAAAUAAGAAGAAAGAGUAUGCUGCUGAUAUUUCCUCCAUAAAGGAAGCCCGGAUACGUAUUCGACCUUUCAUCCAUCAAACCCCAGUUUUUUCAUCUGAAACUAUCAAUGCUGCUUCAGGAAAACAACUUUUCUUCAAAUGUGAAUGUUUCCAGAAGGGGUGAGUAGCUUAACCAAUGUUGAAAGAUUAUAAGGUUCUGAUUCAAAUGGUGUGUGGUCUUUUUAAUGCUGACAUGCACAGUAACAUUUAAACUUAUUUUCAGUUUCAACGUAACUGACUCUUGAAAUCUAUUAUGAAAUGUGUUAUCUUGUUUCUAAGUCAAAAGCCAUCUUUUAAAGAUAAAUGGACAGGUGAUGAUUCAUCUUUUGAAGAAACGACGUUACUUGAUAUUUUAGAUAUAUUAGUUCUAAAUCAUCUCUCUUAGAUUAUUAUUCAAUAGUUAAUAGGUACAAUGUAAAUUUGAUUAUUUCAAAGUUUGUAUGAAAAGCUCUUCUUGCCAUGUUGCUGUUGGUACUUUUGCUAAGAGUACUCUUUGUGAAGUCAAGUCAAGGAUAAGUUGAAAAUGUCUGUGAGCUAUUCUAUCAUAAUUUUGAAAUAAAUUUGUCAUAAUAUUAAAGGUAGGAGAGAGAAUUAUGGUUUCUAAUGGAAAUCUAAUGGUUUAUUAUUUGGCUAUUCAGUGGAGCUUUCAAAUUCAGAGGUGCCUGCAAUGCUAUAUAUUCACUUGAUGAGGGCGAGGCUGCUAAAGGGGUUGUGACACAUAGCAGGUCCACUCUGGACUACACAAUAUACUUCUUUGAAGCUUUUUGAGAACAUUUAACUGAUAAUGCUCUCCAAAAUUAGUGGCAACCAUGCUGCAGCUUUGUCUUUGGCUGCAAAACUGCGCGGAAUCCCUGCAUAUAUAGUUAUACCAGAAAAUGCUCCAAAAUGUAAAGUUGAAAAUGUGAUACGUUAUGGUGGUCAGAUUAUUUGGAGCAAAAGCGCAAUACAGUCAAGGGAAUCGGUUGCUGCGAGGGUUAUGCAAGAAACUGGUGCACUUCUCAUACACCCAUAUAAUGAUGGGCGCAUAAUAAGGUAAAAUAAUGUUAAUAUUGUUUUGUUUAACUGUCUUUGGAAGUACUCAUGAUGAUUUCUCAAAGUACAAAUCUUUAUUUACUUUUAAUUUUUUUAUCCCUAUUUUGAAAAUGGAUACAAAGUUUGUUAGUGAAACAAUGAAAGAGACGAGUGCUGAAAGCCAAAUGUAGAAACAAUUAAAACUUGCCUUGAAACUGAACAAAACAAUCAAGUGUCUUUGAUAAGUUUUCCCUAUUUUAUAAAGACAAAUAUCUUGAAUGGAAAGGUCUGCAAAUAAUUUGGAGAGCAAGUACCAAAAAGAAGCUUUAACCGAGCAAUUUUACAAGGUUCAGAUCAAUUGGUUUAGGUUUGAUUCCUUUCAAAACAAAUUUUGGAGAGGAUGGCUUUAACCGCAUUUCACCACACCAACUGACAUUGAGGCUUCAAGAAAGGACCCACAAGAAUCUAAACGACAUUUUCCUUAAAACCAUCACAAAAUAUCCACUGGAUCCUGAAAGUUGAAAACAACUUGAGACAAGAAGCCAUGGAACAACACCAUUCAUAGAAAAAAUGUUGAGGAUCUUCAUUGGCCGAGAACAAAGAGGACACAUAGAGGAUAAUGAGGUGUUAGAAGGUAGCUUCUUUUGAAGUACAUUAGAACAAUUGAGUGCCCCAUAAAUCAUAAUCCAUGUGAGUAAAUAGAUUUCUACAGAGCCUUUUGCAACAACUUAUCCAUAGUAGAAGAGACAGGCAAGUGCUUGAAAAUGGAAUUAACAGAAAACUGACAUUUGAAACUUUAAAAACUCAGAACUUAAUCAUCCUUUAAAAAUCUUUUAAAAGAUAUUUGACCAGAAACGAGUGAUAUCAUACCAAUUAUCAAGAAUAGAGCCUUUCAGAUUUGAAGAAAUUCUUGAAAGGCUUGGAAAAAUGGAGCCCAAAGAACUACUGUCCAGCCAAGUAUCAUGCUAAAAGGAAAUUAUACUGCCGUUUCUGAGCUUUUAUCACUAUUCUUAACGCAUUCUUUUAUUUGACUAAUUUUAAUUUGUUGUUUCGUCACAAGACUAGUUUUCAUAACAAGAACUUGGUUUUACUCAACUGAAAUGGAUAUGUUAUGGCAUGUUGAUCGCUCUUGCAGUGGGCAAGGUACCAUCUCGUUGGAGCUUCUGGAACAAGUCCCACAAUUAGACACUUUAAUCGUUCCCAUAAGUGGUUUGUUUGCUUGGAUCGUUUUAUACCUUUCAAUUUUCAUUGUUAAUUUUAUGCAUUAUCAUAGUUGAUAAUAUCCCAUUGGGACAGGCUUGUUCUUUUCUGAAACCCUUCACCAUGAAAAUGUAGGUGGUGGUUUGAUAUCAGGAAUUUCAGUGGCUGCAAAGGCCAUCAAUCCUGCCAUCCGGAUUUUUGCUGCAGAACCUAAGGGAGCUAAUGAUGCAGCCAUGUCAAAAGCAGCUGGUAAGAUAGUAACACUGCCAGAAACCACCACCAUAGCCGAUGGUCUUCGAGCUUUUCUCGGCAACCUGACCUGGUAAUAUAACUUCUCUCUUAUUUAAAUUUUCAUCAACGUUAGAAAUUGUUUGACUCGUGGAUUUAAUUAUAGGGAAAUUUAGUCCCUUUCUCUCCUACA
RNAcentral lists this long non-coding RNA (7093 nucleotides) under Cucumis sativus (cucumber). RNAcentral's name for it is "long non-coding RNA (CSAT_LNC001769)". The record is from RNAcentral. Lineage: Eukaryota; Viridiplantae; Streptophyta; Magnoliopsida; Cucurbitales; Cucurbitaceae.